GCGGCGGACGGGUGAGUAACGCGUGGGUAACCUGCCUCAUACAGGGGGAUAACAGUUGGAAACGGCUGCUAAUACCGCAUAAGCGCACAGUACCGCAUGGUACGGUGUGAAAAACUCCGGUGGUAUGAGAUGGACCCGCGUCUGAUUAGGUAGUUGGUGGGGUAACGGCCUACCAAGCCGACGAUCAGUAGCCGACCUGAGAGGGUGACCGGCCACAUUGGGACUGAGACACGGCCCAA
RNAcentral lists this ribosomal RNA (239 nucleotides) under uncultured bacterium. RNAcentral's name for it is "partial 16S ribosomal RNA". It matches the Rfam family "Bacterial small subunit ribosomal RNA", at positions 95 to 334 of the family's 1533-position model. The record is from RNAcentral.